Molecule: long non-coding RNA, 228 nt
Filed under: Jatropha curcas
Lineage: Eukaryota; Viridiplantae; Streptophyta; Magnoliopsida; Malpighiales; Euphorbiaceae
Description: long non-coding RNA (JCUR_LNC003478)
Source: RNAcentral
UUACAGUAUUAUCUAAAAUAACACACUUUCCUCGCUCAUAUUUUUAAUGCUUAGUGAAAAAUGAGAUGAAAACGCAAAUGCUAAAUAAAUUCUUUUUAUAUUAUGAAGUAAUUUUGUAUGAAAACAAUACAUAUACAAGGUGAAUAGCAGAGGGCAAAAUGGUAUAAAACACAUCCUAUGACAUCAAUAACUGUGCAGAAAUAGUCUGAUCCAAUGCAGGGAAUCUAG